GACGAACGCUGGCGGCAUGCCUAACACAUGCAAGUCGAACGGAGAUUAUUUCGGUAAUCUUAGUGGCGAACGGGUGAGUAACGCGUGGGCAACCUGCCCUCUAGAUGGGGACAACAUCCCGAAAGGGGUGCUAAUACCGAAUGUGACAGCAAUCUCGCAUGAGGAUGCUGUGAAAGAUGGCCUCUAUUUAUAAGCUAUCGCUAGAGGAUGGGCCUGCGUCUGAUUAGCUAGUUGGUGGGGUAACGGCCUACCAAGGCGAUGAUCAGUAGCCGGUCUGAGAGGAUGAACGGCCACAUUGGGACGGAGACACGGCACAGACUCCUACGAGAGGCAGCAGUGGGGAAUCUUCCGAAAUGGGCGAAAGCCUGACGGAGCAAUGCCGCGGGAGUGAUGAAGGAAUUCGUUCCGUAAAGCUCUUUUGUUUAUGACGAAUGUGCAGAUUGUGAACAAUGAUCUGUAAUGACGGUAGUAAACGAAUAAGCCACGGCUAACUACGUG
This 498-nucleotide ribosomal RNA is filed under the name uncultured bacterium. RNAcentral describes it as "partial 16S ribosomal RNA". It matches the Rfam family "Bacterial small subunit ribosomal RNA", at positions 28 to 507 of the family's 1533-position model. The record is from RNAcentral.